RNAcentral lists this ribosomal RNA (362 nucleotides) under uncultured Anoxybacillus sp. RNAcentral describes it as "bacterial SSU rRNA". It matches the Rfam family "Bacterial small subunit ribosomal RNA", at positions 1019 to 1382 of the family's 1533-position model. The record is from RNAcentral. Lineage: Bacteria; Bacillati; Bacillota; Bacilli; Caryophanales; Anoxybacillaceae.
GGGGGGACGAGGGUGACAGGUGGUGCAUGGUUGUCGUCAGCUCGUGUCGUGAGAUGUUGGGUUAAGUCCCGCAACGAGCGCAACCCUCGACCUUAGUUGCCAGCAUUCAGUUGGGCACUCUAAGGUGACUGCCGGCUAAAAGUCGGAGGAAGGUGGGGAUGACGUCAAAUCAUCAUGCCCCUUAUGACCUGGGCUACACACGUGCUACAAUGGGCGGUACAAAGGGUCGCGAACCCGCGAGGGGGAGCCAAUCCCAAAAAGCCGCUCUCAGUUCGGAUUGCAGGCUGCAACUCGCCUGCAUGAAGCCGGAAUCGCUAGUAAUCGCGGAUCAGCAUGCCGCGGUGAAUACGUUCCCGGGCCUU